Molecule: transfer RNA, 67 nt
Filed under: Marmota monax (woodchuck)
Lineage: Eukaryota; Metazoa; Chordata; Mammalia; Rodentia; Sciuridae
Description: tRNA.Ala
Source: RNAcentral
GGUUGUAGCUCAGUGGUGGAGCGAUUGCCUAGCAUGUGUGAAGUACUGGGUUCAAUCCUCAGCACCA